MicroRNA precursor from Cavia porcellus (domestic guinea pig), 66 nucleotides. Ensembl annotates it as microRNA 193a. Its record names the gene MIR193A. The record is from Ensembl. NCBI's taxonomy places the organism in Eukaryota, Metazoa, Chordata, Mammalia, Rodentia, Caviidae.
GAGGGCUGGGUCUUUGCGGGCGAGAUGAGGGUGUCGGUUCAACUGGCCUACAAAGUCCCAGUCCUC